Molecule: long non-coding RNA, 2988 nt
Organism: Daphnia pulex (common water flea)
Lineage: Eukaryota; Metazoa; Arthropoda; Branchiopoda; Diplostraca; Daphniidae
Exons: 11
Source: RefSeq, a predicted model, not a curated record
AAAGUUCUCACAGUUCGUCUGCAGUCUGCACAGUGCAGUGCAAGCAAAAACUGUGCUAAAGACUAAAGUCGUCAUAGGCUCACAGCACAUAUUUAGUUUAGCAGGGCCGCGAGGCUGCCAUCAGCACAUUCUGCACAUAUCAUAUAGCCAUAAGCCCAUAAUGUUAUUUCAUAUUGUUUAUUGUAGUGAUUGGAGUGACUUAGUGAGUAUUUGGCAAAUGAUUCCGUUCAAGCAAAAGUUUUCUUUUUUUUUCUGUUACCGACUAACGUGGUUGAAACAGAGCAGUCAAACAAGGAAAUUUCAAACAGCCCAUGUGCUCAGAUCACAUUGGUGCAAGAAGUGACGCAUGGAAUGUUCAACUUAAUAGGAUUUUUCUCUCCUCAUCUCCUCUAAAAAAAUGAGUGCUACAAGAAUGUUCUCUGUGUGUUAUAUCAUCCACCACUUAGCUCCAAUGCAACAGAAAUAAGUCUAAGCUUUCAAGUACGUUGAAGUUAUCUCUGCGUGUGAAGAAUCCAGUGAUCUAGAAUGAAUGAAUAAAGUGAACUCAAACAUUCAGUGACAGUUACACCAACUUACGUGAACUGCCAGACACAAUGUUGUCCUAAAAUAAGAAGAAUGCCAAUCUUGAGUCUACAUAGGGAUUGGCAUGGAUUACAUGCCCACAUCGUGCAACCAAAUAUCAAUCUUGAAGCCAGUGAGCCGAACGCCAACCUUGGUGUAAAAAAGUGCGGAAUCGACGAACGACAACCCAGUGUUUGCUUGCGUGUUUAAAACUGUUUAAGGUCCAACGCAAAAAAUAGUUGAGAUUGAUAACUUUUUUUUAAAUCCUUUCAUUCAACAUCUUGUACUGCCAGUCUCAACAACACGAACAACAAGAUUAUUGACCACACAAUCAUCGCAAAUGCUGGUUAAUUGCAAAACACAUCCUUGUCGUAACAACUGACAUCCGGGAAGAAAAUACUUUGGUGAUGAGACUCUCGCCAUGGAGGAAGUAAUGCGUGACACCACCUAUGCCUCCAUCAAAUGUACUGUUCAUAUAGUUGUGGGACUUGUGGCCAAUACGGAAUUUUAAAAGCCCCUUUAUGACGAGCUAUACUGAGGUAGGCGACGAUACUCAUUGUUGCCAAACGAGCAUAAGGCAACAACAAUCGUUAUCUGAAACUAGACGAACAAGUUGCUAGUGAGGAAUUUCAAACGAUCAUCAAAGUUGAGAAAGAAGAAGAUGACGACUCCAUGCAAUCAAAACAAAGAAGGAAACAUUAGAGCCAGAAGAUCCAUCUGUUACCGCACACCAACAUCUAACGGAACUUAUUCCACAUGUCCAAAUGGCGCCCAAUUAGUUAACUUCCGAUUCAUAGUUCUGUUGGAAUCACUAUCAAGGAAAAAAGAGGUGUGAAGCUCCUUUACCAACUGACAUCAUAUUCAAGUUGGGCAUGGAAGUGCGGCACAAGACGCAUGCCAACCAGUGAACGAGCAAGUCAAAGGAAAGACACCGCACCGCACAAGUUCUCUACAACGGGUUGCGGCGAGUUUGGGCAACCUUACCGCCAUGCUGCACUCUCAAUCCGACCCGGGUCGCUGUUUCCUCUCGAUCCUGGUUGCUGGCAUCAACCCAGUUGUUUUCUCUACUCUUCUACCAAACGCGCAAAGUACCAGGUAAUAGAGAAACAUUUUUAUUAACAUCAGCAAACAAAAACUUGCCGAAAGGUACGUGGUCAUGGUCUUCCUGUUUUGUAUUUUCCCUGACGAGAAAUCUUUUAGCGAAGUAUACAAGAGACCUUGGUUUUAUUCUAACGGGCUCUGAAGUCGCACUGCCUGAGUAAAAAUACUAUAACUGACGGUAGGUAAUGAAAUAUGUUACUGUUUUACAGCAAAGUGACGACGAUUUGAGUCUUUGGCGUUAGUUCAGUUCUUCCACAGCCUUCGUUUCUUACCUAAUUCUGUGUCGACUGUACUAAACUAUUUUAUUUUAUGUAUUUAAGGUAGAUUGGCUUGAGGUUCAAAUAAUGCACUAAAUGCAACUUACAACACUGACGUUGCCAUCUGCAAUGGGAAUGAUCAGGCUAGGUGAGUCAACGUUUACUUACAUUUCCGUGUAACUUUCGCUCUACCAUCAAUACGAUAAGAUCCUUUGUUCUGAUGGGGAAAUAAUUGGACAUUAUCACUAAAAAGUGCACCAACAAACUUUGUGAAACGGACAUGAAAUAGUCAGAUUUUUGUAGGUCAUUUGCUAUUUUGAUUUUUGAUUUUGUAUGAAAAAAAAAUCAAUCAACGCCAGGUAGCUAACAAUAUUAUCUUAAGACCAGUCUUUCAAAUACUGAGUUUUGAGACGUGUUAAACAGAUGGCGUGUUGAUUGUGUCAGUUAUGGGCUUCUGGCGAUUUGAUGUCAACAUUUAAGCUAUCCAUUAUUCGAAAAUUAUCAAUGAAUUCAUAGGAAGAAACGUGAAAGCUGGAACCUACCGUCAACUAUUUUGUUCAAAAUCAUUGUAUUCUACUGAAUGUGUCAUCAAAAUGAUAAGUAGAUCACCAACCCCAGCACGGACCAAUCUCUCAUUCCAUCUCCUAUAGAACCUUGGAUAACUGAUCGGUGGUUUCAUGUGUAAGUUCACUUGUCACUGAACUAUGGAAAAUAUUCUGUCCAGGGAAUGACGCCUUAAAAGAAAGAACUGCGGCUGCGAUCUUCAACAAUCUUGCGUAACAAUAUUGCAUGAAUUUUGAUGCUGAAAGACUUUGAAACCAUGCUGUCCAGUGUCCACCACGUCGAGAAGCUGAGUAACAUUCGGCUAACAUUAUGUGUGUACAAUGGGGCCUCUUAAUAAAAGGAACUGAAGCCAUCCAAUCUAGGUCUUCAAUCCAAUCAUGAAGGCUGUAUGGAAGUGGCAUUUACCUUUGCUGUGAACAUCAUGAACACAUACACUUUUUGAAGGUUCAUGUUUACAUAGCAGUGGUGUUGCUGUCCAAUGUGGCGUGUUGUUGCAGCCUAUGAC